AGACCAUGAUGAGGGCAUCUUUAUACCAGCUACAUAAACCACUCCCAAGCUUUCUAAAAUUGUUCUGCUUCCAUCUGUUUGAAGUUGGUCAUAUCCCUUUUUAGUUG
Small nucleolar RNA from Gossypium raimondii (Peruvian cotton), 107 nucleotides. It matches the Rfam family "Plant small nucleolar RNA R71". Rfam says of the family: R71 is a member of the C/D box family of snoRNAs containing the C (UGAUGA) and D (CUGA) box motifs. Multiple nearly identical copies of this snoRNA have been identified in Arabidopsis, and it is thought to function as a 2'-O-ribose methylation guide for 18S ribosomal RNA. The record is from Rfam. Lineage: Eukaryota; Viridiplantae; Streptophyta; Magnoliopsida; Malvales; Malvaceae.